GUUCUCAUGGUGUAAUAAACACGUCGGAUUUUCGAUCCGAAUUUGGAGUAUUAAAUCUCUUGAGGAUA
Molecule: transfer RNA, 68 nt
Filed under: Solecurtus divaricatus (divaricate short razor)
Lineage: Eukaryota; Metazoa; Mollusca; Bivalvia; Cardiida; Solecurtidae
Description: tRNA-Glu
Rfam family: tRNA
About the family: Transfer RNA (tRNA) molecules are approximately 80 nucleotides in length.
Source: RNAcentral